UACGGAGGGUGCGAGCGUUGUCCGGAAUCAUUGGGCGUAAAGCGCGUGUAGGCGGUCCGGUAAGUCCGCUGUGAAAGUCGGGGGGCUCAACCCUCGGAUGCCGGUGGAUACUGUCGGGCUUGAGUACGGAAGAGGCGAGUGGAAUUCCUGGUGUAGCGGUGAAAAUGCGCAGAUAUCAGGAGGAACACCAAUUGCGAAGGCAGCUCGCUGGGACGUUACUGACGCUGAGACGCGAAAGCGUGGGGAGCAAACAGG
This 255-nucleotide ribosomal RNA is filed under the name uncultured bacterium. RNAcentral describes it as "partial 16S ribosomal RNA". It matches the Rfam family "Bacterial small subunit ribosomal RNA", at positions 524 to 776 of the family's 1533-position model. The record is from RNAcentral.